Molecule: non-coding RNA, 276 nt
Organism: Cinara cedri
Lineage: Eukaryota; Metazoa; Arthropoda; Insecta; Hemiptera; Aphididae
Source: the annotation of a GenBank genome assembly
GGGGAGGCUAAUGUAGUUGUGACUUCUUGUUUUGUUGGUUUCCGAUUCCGAGCACCGCCCGUGCGUCUUUAACCCGUAGUCGCCUAGUGCUGUCGUACCGUUUUCGUUUUCGUUUUCAAGUAUAACCGAACGUCGGUAAGGGGUCACUGCUGCCUAUACCGCGCAUACGGUUCACGUCGUCUCCCGAUCCAAGGCGAACGCCAACGCGUGUUCCCGAGUUACGCGAACCGACUCUGGGGAAACGCGCACCGAUUUCCCGGCAAUAUCGCGCGGCGG